RNAcentral lists this ribosomal RNA (432 nucleotides) under uncultured bacterium. Its description in RNAcentral is "partial 16S ribosomal RNA". It matches the Rfam family "Bacterial small subunit ribosomal RNA", at positions 29 to 506 of the family's 1533-position model. The record is from RNAcentral.
AACGAACGCUGGCGGCAUGCCUAACACAUGCAAGUCGAACGAGACCUCCCGGUCUUUUGGCGCACGGCUACUUAACACGUGGGGACCUGCCCUUGGGUUCGCAAUAACUCCCCGAAAGGGAUCCUAAUACCACAUAGGCUCUUCGCACCAAAGAUCUAUUGCCUCGGGAUGGGCCCUCGUUGGAUUAGCUAGUUGGUAGGGUAAAAGCCUGCUAAGGCGACGAUCCAUAGCUGGUCUGUGAGGAUGAUCAGCACGACUGGGACUGAGACCAGGCCCAGACGCCUGCGGGAGGGAGCAGUGGUGAAAAAUGGAGACGGGGCGAAAGCCUGAUCCAGCAAUGGCGGGAGAGUGGUGAAGGCGUUAGGGUUGUAUUGCUCUUUUACCGGGGAUGAUAAGAAGGUUACGGGGAGAAUAAGCCCGGGCUAACACGGU